GCGUUGGCCAAUGGAUUGGGGGGGGGGGGAUUACAAGGAAUCCCACGGCCCCAAAACUAUUAAUCAGAAAAGGGGGGAGAGAGCGGAAAAAAGAAAAGGGGGACAAGGAUAGAAACUAUGAAUCUUUGAGAGAAGUCGAAGGAAAUAUGGAAGACACCAGGAGAAGCAAAGAGAAAAUAAGGAAUUAAAAUGUCUACUAGAAACUGAGAGAAAAGUUGUACAACCAUGUCGUUUGAACCAUAACAGAAAUGUGAUUGCUUUUGUCGACCGCAGCAUAGGUUUUACUUUCACACACGGCAGCCACCGCCAUCUCCGAUUCCGUCUUCGACUCCUCAGAAAAUAAGUCGAUCAGAUUCAGGAACUAAAUGACAGCUCUUUCUGGAACUAAAAGUGAUCUAAUUGAGAAUGAUGUCUCACUCUUUCUGUGGGUUGUUUUGGAAGUGUUGGCAUUGUAAUGCUGCGGUUUGUUGCUCUUUUGUUGAAUGAGUAGGUUUUACUAGUCUCGUAUGGGAAUUGCUUCGUGUGACUUGAGUUGGAAAUGUUGCUUUUGCUAUCCUGGUUGUUGUUCUUUUGUCAAAUGACUACCAACUGCGUCCAAGGAUUAGGAACAAUUUGUGUCUUUACAUUGCUACUAGUGUUGUCCUAGCCAGGAAGCACUGUUAAUAGACUCUUGAAUAGUUGAUCAUGUUCAUACUA
Malus domestica (apple) is the source of this 696-nucleotide non-coding RNA. The record is from RefSeq and is a predicted model, not a curated record. Lineage: Eukaryota; Viridiplantae; Streptophyta; Magnoliopsida; Rosales; Rosaceae.